Mytilus californianus (California mussel) is the source of this 624-nucleotide long non-coding RNA. RefSeq lists it as uncharacterized. The record is from RefSeq and is a predicted model, not a curated record. Lineage: Eukaryota; Metazoa; Mollusca; Bivalvia; Mytilida; Mytilidae. The transcript is spliced from 2 exons.
CGUGUGGGUUCAUAAAACUGAUCGUAUUAGGAUGAACAUUUUAAUAACGUGUCCUCUACAGUAUAAAGCACAACAUAUCUAAAUACUGCAUUUGAAUUGCAAGAUAAUACGUUUUGUAAUUCAUAAGAGUCUAAGAAAAUGUGGAAAAUGUAUCUUGUGUGUGUUGUUCUUUUGAUGUUCAAAUAUUCUGUUCUGUCGUACGGAUUAACCCAACAUUCGGUGUUGGAAUUGUUUCCGGAAUUCCAUGACCUUGAAAAUAAAAACAAAGAAUCCGUAAAUCAGAUUCGGUCGUUGCAGUAUGAGGUGGCUGGUCUGCGGUCAUUGCAGAAUGAGGUGGCUCGUCUGCGGUCAUUACAGAAUGAUGUGGAUCGACUGCGGUCAUUGAAGAAUGAUGUGGAUCGUCUACGAGAAAAUAACAGUCGUUCUCAAGAUGAUUUAGAAAAAUCCGUACUGAAAUUACUUGAUCUUAUUAAACUGUUGCACAGAGAUAUAUUUUAAAAAUGCUAAGACAAAAUAUCAAAUCUUCACUGGGAGUACCACCGGGUAAAUCCAUUAAAAACAUUUAAUUAUUGUCAAGUAUACUAGAAAUUAGAUUUUGAUUUGAAAUAAAAUCUAUUUAGUUUG